This 178-nucleotide antisense RNA is filed under the name Kamptonema sp. PCC 6506. Its description in RNAcentral is "Oscillatoria sp. PCC 6506 Antisense RNA which regulates isiA expression". It matches the Rfam family "Antisense RNA which regulates isiA expression". The record is from Rfam by way of RNAcentral. Lineage: Bacteria; Bacillati; Cyanobacteriota; Cyanophyceae; Oscillatoriales; Microcoleaceae.
GAUAGCCAAAAAUCCGACCAGGAUUGAGCGUAGGGUUAGAAAUAACUCGGACAUCUGCGGCAAUGGGGUCAUAAACACCGCCCCAAAACAUUGCUUUCCCUACCAAUAACCACGCACCUAAACCUAGCAGUAAUAAGUGAAUGCCAAUGAUAGUUGUCAUCUUGUCUUUGUCUUCCCA